GAUGAACGCUGGCGGCGUGCCUAACACAUGCAAGUCGAACGAACGGACGAUAAGCUUGCUUCUUUGAUGUUAGCGGCGGACGGGUGAGUAACACGUGGAUCACCUACUUAUAAGUCUGGGAUAACUUCGGGAAACCGGAGCUAAUACCGGAUAAUAUUUUGAACCGCAUGGUUCAAAAGUAAAAGACGGCCUUGCUGUCACUUAUAGAUGGAUCCGCGCUGCAUUAGCUAGUUGGUAAGGUAACGGCUUACCAAGGCUACGAUGCAUAGCCGACCUGAGAGGAUGAUCGGCCACACUGGAACUGAGACACGGUCCAGACUCCUACGGGAGGCAGCAGUAGGGAAUCUUCCGCAAUGGGCGAAAGCCUGACGGAGCAACGCCGCGUGAGUGAUGAAGGUCUUCGGAUCGUAAAGCUCUGUUAUUAGGGAAGAACAUAUGUGUAAUUAACUGUGCACAUCUUGACGGUACCUAAUCAGAAAGCAACGGCUAACUACGUG
RNAcentral lists this ribosomal RNA (497 nucleotides) under uncultured bacterium. RNAcentral describes it as "partial 16S ribosomal RNA". It matches the Rfam family "Bacterial small subunit ribosomal RNA", at positions 28 to 507 of the family's 1533-position model. The record is from RNAcentral.